CCCAAUCUACGAUCCAUCCUCUCUCGCUACUCCCCACGGCCCCAACUCGUGCGAUCCAUGUUUCUCGGCACUCACGUUGAUGUGAAAACUGAAACUCAGAAGAAAAGAAAAAAAACGGCCCACACGCGCACGUCUCCCACGUCCCACGCCCCAUCGCCUCCCAAACCCCACCCCCCUCAGUCGAUCCCAUGUCUCUCCCCAGAAAAUUGUAGCCGCCGGCCUCUUCCUUCAUCGCUCGACUCGGCCAAUGCGAUGAGGACGGACGGAUCCUUCUGUCCUCUCACCCACGACCUCUCGCUUUCCCGCCGUCGACCCUACGCCGUAUCUGCCCGCCAUCCCCUUUCCCCGCCGUGUGACUUCCGCGGCAGACAGGGAAGUUGGCAACCACCGAGGCCCAUGGCCCUCCUACACUUGCCGGAGCCAUCAGCUGGGACCAAGGUCGCCGACCCGCAAGACGUGCUUACAGCAGCACUGCUAGAUUUCUGGUUUAGGUCAUGAUCCAGUACUACUAUCUUAACAUUCGCAGGAAGGAGAUGGCCAUGGGCAGGGGUGUCUAGCUCCUCCUCCUUGACCAGUUCAUCCCGCAGUCACCAUCGUCUUCCACGCGACCAUGCCAGAUUCGCGUCAUCAUCAUCAUCAUCGCAGGUAGGCAGCGGUGGCUGCGGUGAGGGCACGUGCGGCAGGGAGGGCCAUAACCCUGACUUCAGUACGCGAUGUUACAGGUUGUUGAAUAUAUACAGUUUUUGGAAGAGAAAAAAAUUGCUUGUGUUCGGGUGAGGCCCAGAUACAACAUCCCACAUUUUGUUUUCGAAAUCAUCUCUACUUAACUACAAAGGUUGUGGUUGCAACUUGGAUGCAGAGGAAGAGUAAUUUGGCUGCUAAGGUAUCAAGGAUUAUUAAACCCAAACAAAUCCAAGCGGUAUUUGUCAUUUGCUAUAAAGCCAUUAAAAACGCCUCCAGGAGAAAUGUCAAAGGCUCUUUGAGAAACUUGUAUAUUUAUCUCUUCUUUACUUGCCUUUAAUGAAAAACAUGAUAGUAUCCAAAUUAAUUUCAGGAAGGUACUCCUAUAAGAGGAAACUUUUGAGAUGUAUCAUGUCAUUUAAAUUUAAUCCAUAAUGCAGAGAUAAAAACAGUUUUUUCAUUCACCACAUGGAGAUCGCAUUAACUAAGCGUCGUGAGGCAAGCCAUGAUGUUCUUCGAAAUAUGUGGACAAUAAGGUUGCUGAGUGAGCAAUUCUUUUUGCUUCUGUGGUGUUCUCAGGGAGGGAUAAUUCGUGGCCUUGGUGAUAUAUGCAAACCAAAUUUUGUAUGAUUUUUAGAACCCUUUGUAGUGAAAGACAGUAAAUGAGGAAUGAUGUUUAAAUAAUAUUGAGUUUUUCUUUUAUCUUUUUCUUGGUUCAGUUUGGAACCAACCUUCUAUGUAGCUGAAAUUUUAUGUAUCAUAUUAGGUCUGUGUUUGCAUUGUGAAAGAUUGUCUUAUUGAACCUUGCCAUAUCGAGAGUACUUUUUAUUUUCUUGUUGUUUGUAAAAACUGACUCUUUUGAUGCACAUCAGUAGAGCCACAAAACUGAUAUUCACCGCUUAGGCAUAUGAACAUGUGGAUGAAUUGUGAAAUGAUGCUGGCCAGCUUGUUACUUGUAGGCAUUGCAUGCCAUGCAUAGUCCUAAUUUAUAUUCCGCAUCAACUUGACAGUGUUCUAAGUUACAUUCAUAUUAUUUGCAUGACAUAUAAUUAUCUAUCUAUUUAGCUCCUUAAAGAUUGUAAAGUGCAGGUGUACAAUCAAGGCUUCAUUGUUCUUACCCGUAAAAAAAAGGCUUCAUUUUUUUGUUUAGAAAAGGCUUGUUUGGUCAUAGUUGGUUGGGAAAGGUAAGGUUAUGGAAAUACUGGUUCUUUUGACAAACCUCGCACUGAUAGGGUGGUCAUGAAUUAUUAAUUUAAUAACAUACACAAAGUUUGUCGUCUUUAUAAGGAAUCAAAAAGAACACAUUGAAGCCUCGAAGAAAACAUAAUAUGUAAAUUUAGAUGUUGAGGUUCUGAUUUGAUAUUCUUACCUUAUGUACUAUUUUGUUCAGAAAAUGUUUUACACUCGCAUGUUCGAUCGGAAAGGCCUUGGGCUGCUAGCAGUUAAUUUUUAGAGUAGUUUUUUGUAUUGAUCUGCAAUGCCCGAAUGAUAGGAAAUGAUUUUUUUUAUCUUAUGACUCUUAUAUAUUCAUAUAUUCCUUUAAUUUUGUAGAAACUAGAGCAAAUUGUGAACCUGUAUGUAUCAAAGAAUUUUAUGAAUUAUGUUUGUGCAUAUGGCAAUAUGAAAAGGUAGGGCCAUAAUGAUGGUACUCAUAGUGGGAGUGGAAGAGAAGCAUGUGUCGUCGCCAAAGUCACAGUGGUUGUGGUCAUCCAUAUCCACAGAACAAAGAUUGACAUGUAGCAGGGUUCAUCUGGCUUCCAUUACAUGUCGGGCACAGGUUAGUCGCGUGCUCCAAAAAACUGCUUCGAAGGGCCAAGACGACCAUGACCUACUCGCCGGGGCACCGACGCAAGCCAUAGGAUCAUUUGUUGCCAUGAGAGCAGGGGCGGCCAAACCCGCCAUAGUUGGGAGUAGCCAACAGCCCAACACCCAUCCUUAUUAAUACUGACAAUCUUGAGGCGCAACGAACCGACGUAAAUGAGCCGGGUGAUGGUGAUCCUUCUAGAGAAAAAUGGAGAAGGACAAGAUAGAUGUUUAUCGCGAGACAUUCAUUAUUGUGGUGUUUGGCAUGCAUGUUCACUACAUUCAACUACACUGUAAUUCGAUGUGAACGCAUUGGUAGCUUCUGGACUCACUCAGACUCGCCCGAAAAUCAUCGGGUCUUUACGGCCAUCCGGAGUCUCACGUGGAGCCAUGUCUGAUCAAUGUGUAUGUGUCUAAUUUCAUUUUUUUCGUGGCAACGCACAGGCAUUCAGCUAGUAUGUGUAAUUUUUGAAUAGAUAGCAUAGGCCUGGGCGUCCGGCGUCUCGCUUCUCGCUUAGCGGUUGAUCAAUCUAA
Molecule: RNA transcript, 3018 nt
Organism: Triticum aestivum (bread wheat)
Lineage: Eukaryota; Viridiplantae; Streptophyta; Magnoliopsida; Poales; Poaceae
Exons: 4
Source: RefSeq, a predicted model, not a curated record